Silurus meridionalis is the source of this 620-nucleotide non-coding RNA. Lineage: Eukaryota; Metazoa; Chordata; Actinopteri; Siluriformes; Siluridae. The record is from the annotation of a RefSeq genome assembly.
UUUAUGCUGAAACAUUCAGUUUGAAAACACAGCAGCAGUUUGUGUUCAUUUCCAGCAACAGUAAUUCCUUCCUUUAUUGAGAUGGGUCUAGGCAGAGUUUUGAGUUUCUUUACUUUAGCAAUGUUCAUUCAAUAUUGCUGCAGUCAGACACUGAUCGAGUCUGAUUCAGUAAUCAUCAAACCUGAUCAGUCUCAUAAACUGACCUGCACAGCUUCUGGAUUUAACUUUGGUAGCUACUGGAUGGCUUGGAUCAGACAGGCACCUGGAAAAGGGCUGGAAUUUGUUGCAACUAUUGAGAAUGAUAGUGAUAGGAAGUUUUACUCCAGUGCAGUUAACGGCCGCUUCACCGUCUCCAGAGACAACAGUAAGAUGCAGGUGUAUCUGCAGAUGAACAGCGUGAGGACAGAAGACACUGCAGUGUAUUACUGCGCUAGACACACACAGUGAUACUUCUCCUUAAACAUCAAUACAAAAACACACGCCUGCUCUAGUCACAUGACAAACUCACAUUUCCAUCAACUGUGUGUUUAUGGAGCUCAAAGAACCAGACUGUCUAUGAGUAAUAUUUGGUAUUUAAUAUAUUACAAAUAAUAUUUAACAUUUGUAUUAAAUUCUUUGAC